CAUGGACGAAAGUCUGACGGAGCAACGCCGCGUGAACGAUGAAGGCCUUCGGGUCGUAAAGUUCUGUUGUUAGGGAAGAACAAGUACCGUUCGAAUAGGGCGGUACCUUGACGGUACCUAACCAGAAAGCCACGGCUAACUACGUGCCAGCAGCCGCGGUAAUACGUAGGUGGCAAGCGUUAUCCGGAAUUAUUGGGCGUAAAGCGCGCGCAGGUGGUUUCUUAAGUCUGAUGUGAAAGCCCACGGCUCAACCGUGGAGGGUCAUUGGAAACUGGGGAACUUGAGUGCAGAAGAGGAAAGUGGAAUUCCAAGUGUAGCGGUGAAAUGCGUAGAGAUUUGGAGGAACACCAGUGGCGAAGGCGACUUUCUGGUCUGUAACUGACACUGAGGCGCGAAAGCGUGGGGAGCGAACAGGAUUAGAUACCCUGGUAGUCCACGCCGUAAACGAUGAGUGCUAAGUGUUAGAGGGUUUCCGCCCUUUAGUGCUGCAGCUAACGCAUUAAGCACUCCGCCUGGGGAGUACGGUCGCAAGACUGAAACUCAAAGGAAUUGACGGGGGCCCGCACAAGCGGUGGAGCAUGUGGUUUAAUUCGAAGCACC
Molecule: ribosomal RNA, 600 nt
Filed under: Bacillus sp. CP6B4
Lineage: Bacteria; Bacillati; Bacillota; Bacilli; Caryophanales; Bacillaceae
Description: bacterial SSU rRNA
Rfam family: Bacterial small subunit ribosomal RNA
Source: RNAcentral